UGACCUGUUCUGUAACAUUCCAUUCACUCUUCAGAAGCACCGGCUACCGCAGCAGCAAGGAAAUGAAUCCUCUCCCGUCCCAACAGGAAUGGACCACACCUCCCUACGAGCUCAAAUUCGCCUGCGUUUCCAAAAAUGGGCGCCAUCACUUAGCCGUCUUCCACUGGACCCUAAACCGUCGGUCCUGUAACAUCUUCCCCCUGACAAGUGGCUUGUAGGACUCUGUCUCUGAAAUUUUCACCAAAACAUCUUAAGUAUAUGCCACCAACACUUGCCAAGCAAAACACAAGGUGCAUGUAAAACUUUAGAAAAAAGGAAAAAGAAGUUCAAAAACUUAAUAAGAAAUGCCACAAAUUGCAGGUGUUACUUGAGAAAGGACAGAAAUUUGUUUUCAAAGAUUUGACUCCAAGUAUUUGCAAAGAUGUGGGGAGAGAGACUCAGCUACUGUUGGAAAUGCCCACUGUGGAAGCUUCUAAUAAAAUCUGACAGCUUGUUUCAAAAUUUAAAGUGUGUAUACUCUUUGACUCAGCAAUUUUUUCCAAGUCUCUCUUCUAAUUUAUAUGUUGGCAAAAGUGUAUGUAUCUGAAUGCCUACAGCAAUCCUGUUUAUAGCAGCAAAUAAACUGAAAUUC
Long non-coding RNA from Suricata suricatta (meerkat), 631 nucleotides. RefSeq lists it as uncharacterized. The transcript is spliced from 3 exons. Lineage: Eukaryota; Metazoa; Chordata; Mammalia; Carnivora; Herpestidae. The record is from RefSeq and is a predicted model, not a curated record.